This 979-nucleotide long non-coding RNA is filed under the name Mus musculus (house mouse). RNAcentral's name for it is "predicted gene, 19935 (Gm19935)". The record is from RNAcentral. Lineage: Eukaryota; Metazoa; Chordata; Mammalia; Rodentia; Muridae.
AACUGGUCUCCAAGCAGGGGAUCUCUAAGGCCCAGGACUGGAUGUGCCCUGGGACAAGAAGGGAGGCCACAGCUUGUUAUCUGUUCACUGCUUUCUCUGUCUGUGAAGGUGUAGGCUGGUGUUUACCUGUAACUAGGUGGUCUGAGAGCACCAGGGCCUCAGUCCCUGUAAAAUGGGUUGCCAUUCCAGCAAGGGCACCGAGGUGGUAGAGGAGUCCCGGAAACCUGGAGAUCACGCCGAUGGAGGAGAGCCGAAGGUGGAGUCUGGCACCGAGGCUGCGGAUGACAAGGAUGCCUCAACAAAGGACGGAACCCCUGAGCUGAAGAACUGACCCUCUUUCUUGGGUGGACCCUCAACUUGUCCCUGGAACUGCCUUUGACCUGUGAGGCCCCACCCUGAAGAGCUAUCCAUGGAGGACAGAAAGAGCCCUGGUUAGGAUGUGACCUUCACCGGGCUUGCUCUCUGGCUUUGGGGGAGACGAAGGGUUAAGCUUGAAGUGCUCAGUAAAGAGGACAAAGGACUGCUUCAUUCCUCUUGGGGCCUUUCCCACAGCUUCUGGAAAGAGAAAAACAUGCAGUUGACUCCUCUGGUCCAGACUAUGUGCUUCUGGGCUAUGAACGUCCAGCCAUACCAUCUGCUUUCCUUCCCCGGAACUCUGGAGGCUCCAUCGCCUUCACAUCGAUUGGGACUAUAGAUCUUGGUUUGGUCUUAAUCUCGCUCCCUUUUUCUAACAGCUGAAUGAGCAGCCAGCAUGCCCGACAGGAAGCUUCUGCAUUUGGCUCUCUUCACCUUGUUUGCAUGAAUAAUUUAGUAUUUAACUUACAGUAUCAUUAAUGAAUUAUGGGAAUGAUCAGGAUUGGACGGGGAUUCCAUGAAUGGAUGGCGACAAGGCCUUGGGCUCACAGCAAGCGGAGUGCUGGGCGCUGGUGGGAGGGAAGGGGAAAGUCGAGUUUCCGGCUAUUAAAUCCUCAGAAAUGUC